GCAAGUCGAACGAGAUCUUCGGAUCUAGUGGCGAACGGGUGAGGAACACGUAAGAAACCUGCCCCAAAGACGAGGAUAACUAUUGGAAACGAUAGCUAAUACUGGAUAGGAUAUAAGGCCGCAUGGUCUAAUAUUUAAAGGAGCUUUCAAGCUCCGCUUAGGGAUGGUCUUGCGCAGCAUUAGCUAGUUGGUAGGGUAACGGCCUACCAAGGCGACGAUCCGUAGCUGGUCUGAGAGGAUGAUC
Molecule: ribosomal RNA, 244 nt
Filed under: uncultured bacterium
Lineage: Bacteria
Description: partial 16S ribosomal RNA
Rfam family: Bacterial small subunit ribosomal RNA
Source: RNAcentral